Molecule: long non-coding RNA, 1356 nt
Filed under: Anser brachyrhynchus (Pink-footed goose)
Lineage: Eukaryota; Metazoa; Chordata; Aves; Anseriformes; Anatidae
Description: lncRNA (ENSABRG00000013333.1)
Source: RNAcentral
CCCGCGACGCCUCGACCCCCGGGGCCACCAGCCCCCAGGGCUCCGAGUUGAGGCGCUUCAGCGGCCGUCCCCGGGCGCGGGAUGGCUCCGGCACGGCGGUGGCGGCCGGCGGCGGCGGCGGUGGGAAGCGGAAGACGUCCCGCUCCUCCUCCUUCUCGCUGCCCGCCGGCGAGGCCGCCGUGCGCACCUCGAUGUCGGAGGGCGACAUGCAGAGCGCCGGCGAGCGCUUCUCCUCCAGCCCCGGCGAGGGGGGCGAGUUCAGGCGUCCAGCAGCGCCUGCAGCGUCUCCCGGUCGCCCCGGUUGAUGGCGUAAACCAGAGCGGAGGCGCCGGCGUAGUCGCGGGCGCUGGGGUCGGCGCCAUGGGCCAGCAGCACGGCGGCCACGGCGGCCCCGGCGCGCUCGGCGCAGGCGUGCAUCAGCGCCGUCUUGCCCGUCUUGUCGGGGAUGUUGGGGUCGGCGCCGUUCUCCAGGAGGUAGCGCACCAUGCGGGGCUGCUCCAGCGGGUCGGCGUAGCGAGCCCGGCACGCGGCCAUCAGUGGCGUCUGCCCCGCAGCGUUGCCCUCGUUGAUGUAGGCUCCCCCUUCCAGCAGCAGCCGGGUGAGGCGAAACUUGCCCUGGGCCACGGCCCGCAGCAGCGCCGAGCCGUCCGCGGGCAGCAUGGCCAGGCCAGGAGGCGCCGCGGCGCCGGGCGGGCGGCGCACGGGGCUGGGCAUCGCACGCUCAGGGCCACCGGGACGGCGCGCGGCGGUGCCGAGGAGCCCGGAGCAUCGCGUGCCUACGGCAGCAGGGAACGGCGAGGGGACGGAGCGGGGACGGGGUGGUCCUGGAGCAUCGCGCGCUCACCGCAGCGGGACACGGAGCGGGGCCGGCGCGUGGGUGUGGCGUUCCCGGGGUGUCAGGGGGACGCGGCACGGGGACGUCGUGUGGCCCUGGGGGGGGCAGGAGCGGCGCGCGCUUAGCGCUGUGCGUUGAAACCCUUCCGAUCCCUCCCCGCCGGCAGUCCCAGCUCCCUGCCUCAGUUUCCCCAGCUGCCAUGGUUGCUGCCCCCCUCCUGUGCUCCCCCCGGGGCCGGGGGGCUGCUCAGGCUUGGGGGGGGGGCACUGAUGGGGUCCGCGGAGGGGACAGUUCCCGGGGAGGUGACCAGCUGUCACCGCGCAGCCCCCGGUGCCCUGCGGCCCCGGGGCCUCUCUGCCACUGCCUUCGGGCUGUGCCCGCCUCCCUGCGCGGUGCCUGCGGCCCCAAAUCCCCAGGGCCCCCUUCCUCCUCCACCCUCCUUCCCUUCCCCUCUACCCCUCCGGGCCCCCACCUGCAGCCACCUGCAGCCCUGCUGUCUCCUCUCCCAUACCCCCCAAAUC